RNAcentral lists this transfer RNA (101 nucleotides) under Candidatus Woesearchaeota archaeon. Its description in RNAcentral is "tRNA-Asp". It matches the Rfam family "tRNA". Rfam says of the family: Transfer RNA (tRNA) molecules are approximately 80 nucleotides in length. Their secondary structure includes four short double-helical elements and three loops (D, anti-codon, and T loops). The record is from RNAcentral. Lineage: Archaea; Nanobdellati; Candidatus Woesearchaeota.
GCCCUGGUAGUGUAGUGGCCUAGCAUGGUUCAAAUGGUAUCAUGGGCCAAUCAUCCGGCCCUGUCGAGGCCGGGACCCGGGUUCGACUCCCGGCCAGGGCG